AAAAAAGGUAAGCUACUAAGAGCGAAUGGUGGAUGCCUUGACUGGUAGAGGCGAUGAAGGACGUACUAGACUGCGAUAAGCUACGGGGAGCUGUCAAGAAGCUUUGAUCCGUAGAUUUCCGAAUGGGGCAACCCAAUGUAUAGAGAUAUACAUUACCUAUAUAGGAGCGAACGAGGGGAAUUGAAACAUCUUAGUACCCUCAGGAAAAGAAAUCAAUAGAGAUUGCGUCAGUAGCGGCGAGCGAAAGCGCAAGAGGGCAAACCCAGUGCUUGCACUGGGGGUUGUAGGACUGCAAUGUGCAAGAGGUAAGUUUAGCAGAACAUUCUGGAAAGUAUAACCAUAGAGGGUGAUAGUCCCGUAUGCGAAAAACAAACCUUAGCUAGCAGUAUCCUGAGUAGGGCGGGACACGAGGAAUCCUGUCUGAAUCCGGGUCGACCACGAUCCAACCCUAAAUACUAAUACCAGAUCGAUAGUGCACAAGUACCGUGAGGGAAAGGUGAAAAGAACUGAGGUGAUCAGAGUGAAAUAGAACCUGAAACCAUUUGCUUACAAUCAUUCAGAGCACUAUGUAGCAAUACAGUGUGAUGGACUGCCUUUUGCAUAAUGAGCCUGCGAGUUGUGGUGUCUGGCAAGGUUAAGCAAACGCGAAGCCGUAGCGAAAGCGAGUCUGAAUAGGGCGCUUAGUCAGAUGCUGCAGACCCGAAACGAAGUGAUCUAUCCAUGAGCAAGUUGAAGCUAGUGUAAGAACUAGUGGAGGACUGAACCCAUAGGCGUUGAAAAGCCCCGGGAUGACUUGUGGAUAGGGGUGAAAGGCCAAUCAAACUUCGUGAUAGCUGGUUCUCUCCGAAAUAUAUUUAGGUAUAGCGUUGUGUCGUAAUAUAAGGGGGUAGAGCACUGAAUGGGCUAGGGCAUACACCAAUGUACCAAACCCUAUCAAACUCCGAAUACCUUAUAUGUAAUCACAGCAGUCAGGCGGCGAGUGAUAAAAUCCGUCGUCAAGAGGGAAACAACCCAGACUACCAGCUAAGGUCCCUAAAUCUUACUUAAGUGGAAAACGAUGUGAAGUUACUUAAACAACCAGGAGGUUGGCUUAGAAGCAGCCAUCCUUUAAAGAAAGCGUAAUAGCUCACUGGUCUAGUGAUUUUGCGCGGAAAAUAUAACGGGGCUAAAGU
This 1172-nucleotide ribosomal RNA is filed under the name Campylobacter jejuni. RNAcentral describes it as "partial 23S ribosomal RNA". It matches the Rfam family "Bacterial large subunit ribosomal RNA", at positions 1 to 1188 of the family's 2925-position model. Lineage: Bacteria; Pseudomonadati; Campylobacterota; Epsilonproteobacteria; Campylobacterales; Campylobacteraceae. The record is from RNAcentral.